UGGGGUGCUCGAGUGGCGAACGGGUGAGUAACACGUGAGUAACCUGCCCUUGACUUUGGGAUAACUUCAGGAAACUGGGGCUAAUACCGGAUAGGAGCUCCUGCUGCAUGGUGGGGGUUGGAAAGUUUCGGCGGUUGGGGAUGGACUCGCGGCUUAUCAGCUUGUUGGUGAGGUAGUGGCUUACCAAGGCUUUGACGGGUAGCCGGCCUGAGAGGGUGACCGGCCACAUUGGGACUGAGAUACGGCCCAG
This 250-nucleotide ribosomal RNA is filed under the name uncultured Actinomycetales bacterium. Its description in RNAcentral is "partial 16S ribosomal RNA". It matches the Rfam family "Bacterial small subunit ribosomal RNA", at positions 83 to 334 of the family's 1533-position model. The record is from RNAcentral. Lineage: Bacteria; Bacillati; Actinomycetota; Actinomycetes; Actinomycetales.